Molecule: ribosomal RNA, 253 nt
Filed under: uncultured bacterium
Lineage: Bacteria
Description: partial 16S ribosomal RNA
Rfam family: Bacterial small subunit ribosomal RNA
Source: RNAcentral
UACGAAGGGGGCUAGCGUUGUUCGGAAUCACUGGGCGUAAAGGGCGCGUAGGCGGCUAGAUAAGUCGGGGGUGAAAGCCUGUGGCUCAACCACAGAAUUGCCUUCGAUACUGUCUGGCUUGAGACCGGAAGAGGUUAGUGGAACUGCGAGUGUAGAGGUGAAAUUCGUAGAUAUUCGGAGGAACACCAGUGGCGAAGGCGGCUCACUGGUCCGGUACUGACGCUGAGGUGCGAAAGCGUGGGGAGCAAACAGG